Molecule: ribosomal RNA, 434 nt
Filed under: uncultured Clostridium sp.
Lineage: Bacteria; Bacillati; Bacillota; Clostridia; Eubacteriales; Clostridiaceae
Description: partial 16S ribosomal RNA
Rfam family: Bacterial small subunit ribosomal RNA
Source: RNAcentral
ACGGGAGGCAGCAGUAGGGAAUAUUGGUCAAUGGGGGAAACCCUGAACCAGCGACGCCGCGUGAGUGAAGAAGUAUUUCGGUAUGUAAAGCUCUAUCAGCAGGGACGAUAAUGACGGUACCUGACUAAGAAGCCCCGGCUAACUACGUGCCAGCAGCCGCGGUAAUACGUAGGGGGCAAGCGUUAUCCGGAUUUACUGGGUGUAAAGGGAGCGUAGACGGCAAAGCAAGUCUGAAGUGAAAUCCCGGGGCUCAACCCCGGAACUGCUUUGGAAACUGUUUAGCUAGAGUGCAGGAGAGGUAAGCGGAAUUCCUAGUGUAGCGGUGAAAUGCGUAGAUAUUAGGAGGAACACCAGUGGCGAAGGCGGCUUACUGGACUGUAACUGACGUUGAGGCUCGAAAGCGUGGGGAGCAAACAGGAUUAGAUACCCUGGUA